GACAAACUCAGACAUCGUGGAGCUCCCACAGGGAUGUCCUGUGCCGCAAUCUUGAAGUCAUUCCAGAUAUUGCUUUAACCUACCAGAACUUGUACUCCUU
Molecule: small RNA, 100 nt
Filed under: Pan troglodytes (chimpanzee)
Lineage: Eukaryota; Metazoa; Chordata; Mammalia; Primates; Hominidae
Description: processed transcript
Source: RNAcentral